RNAcentral lists this ribosomal RNA (301 nucleotides) under uncultured bacterium. Its description in RNAcentral is "partial 16S ribosomal RNA". It matches the Rfam family "Bacterial small subunit ribosomal RNA", at positions 509 to 807 of the family's 1533-position model. The record is from RNAcentral.
CAGUAGCCGCGGUAAUACCGAGGGUGCAAGCGUUAAUCGGAAUUACUGGGCGUAAAGCGCGCGUAGGUGGUUUGUUAAGUUGGAUGUGAAAGCCCCGGGCUCAACCUGGGAACUGCAUCCAAAACUGGCAAGCUAGAGUACGGUAGAGGGUGGUGGAAUUUCCUGUGUAGCGGUGAAAUGCGUAGAUAUAGGAAGGAACACCAGUGGCGAAGGCGACCACCUGGACUGAUACUGACACUGAGGUGCGAAAGCGUGGGGAGCAAACAGGAUUAGAUACCCCCGUAGUCCCUGUCUCUUAUAC